GUGUUUUGUAAGUCAGAGGAAAUGUAAAAUAUUCACGUUGUCUCCGCAGGCACCAGAGUCAGACUCAUUGCUAACAUGAGGACCUCGUCUGCCAUCUUGCUGCUUGCAGUACUAGCCGCGUUCCUAGCCAUGAUCACUGCAGCGGAGGACAGAAACGACGAGAUGCGUAGUGGAGACGCACAAGGCACCGGAUGCCCUGACCUCGCUGCCUGCACCCGAAGCUGCCAUGUCAAAGGAUUUGCUGCAGGCGCAUGCGUUGGAGCUCGCCUAAUCAUAUGUUUGUGCACCUAAUUUUGA
This is a long non-coding RNA of Dermacentor silvarum, 297 nucleotides long. RefSeq lists it as uncharacterized. NCBI's taxonomy places the organism in Eukaryota, Metazoa, Arthropoda, Arachnida, Ixodida, Ixodidae. The record is from RefSeq and is a predicted model, not a curated record. The transcript is spliced from 3 exons.